RNAcentral lists this long non-coding RNA (1082 nucleotides) under Anser brachyrhynchus (Pink-footed goose). Its description in RNAcentral is "lncRNA (ENSABRG00000003403.1)". The record is from RNAcentral. Lineage: Eukaryota; Metazoa; Chordata; Aves; Anseriformes; Anatidae.
UUAGGGAGGAAGGUUACGGGUGGAGAAUAACGGUAUAUCAGCUAAAGAAGAAUUUUAUUGCAGAAAACCUGUGCCUGACGCUGCUGCCCGCACUGAUCUGGCUGGGCUGGGGUGUGCUAAGGCCUGCGGCCACGCUGAGGCCUGCGGCCACGCUCAGCUGCAAGCAACGCUCCUGCGGCCACCCACCCUCUGCAGCUGCCCCCAGCUCCCCUGGGGCUGCUGGGGCACCUGAACCUGUCCUCGCCCUUUCCAGGUGGAGGAAGGGUGGUAUAUAAAGGAGCUAACGGCACCCCAUCAGCUGGUUUGCUUGGAGAGGAGCUGGAGGAAGGGUGGAUCCCUGGGACAGGCUGUGGCAGUGGCAGCUUGCCACCAAAUUCCCAGACCCAGAAAGCCUCAGCUGCAUUGCUUCUGGCUGCAACCCAGCUCCGGUGCCGCCUUUGCCCUGGGGCUUGCAGGCUCUCGUGGGCUUGUGGUCCCGUAAGGAGUGGGACUUGCUAUACUCUGCCUUUCAUACAAACUCUAGCUGCAGUUGCACUGUGGGUCUGAAUGAGGCUGGAUUCAGAUGGGUGUGACUAAAGCCCCAGGGCAUGAGGACAGGUCCUAUGUUCACACAGAGGCCCUAAGGCCGGCCCUGAGGUGUUGCUACAAGCCCUAGGCCUGUGUCUCAGUGGUCCAAAGGGAGCCUCUCUGCACAUCUACACUGUUAAGUGCUGAGCUGGUGCUAAUUACCGUUCUGCUAAUUGCUCUGAACUCCACUGUCUUGCUGCCUUCCGUAGCUAAAGCUUGGCCGUGGCUCUUGCUGAAGCGGAGAACUUCUUGGAAGCUUGAUAAAAUCUGCAGGGAGACACCUGCCAAUCUUCAUACAUAACAUCUUUAUUUUAAUUUAUUGGCAGCACUUGGAGAAAUUGGCCUUUCUGCAGCAUCAGUUGGACUUCAUUAAAAUAAUAAGAGAGCUAAGUUAGUAAAAACAAACCUGGCCAGUUGGCAACCUCACUUUUGUCAGGACUGAUCUAUGCCGAAAGAUAUAGAUUUAGUCCAUCUACAGUAAUAAAGUCCCAUGAUCCUGUGGUUAAAAUGUCUUU